CUGUGGCACACGGCCAGCUGCUUGUUGAUCACAGCCUGAUGGUGCUCACCAGGGAGCCCCAGAGGGGAAGAAGACCUAGGACACUGCUGCUCCUGGAGCAGGGAGCAGAGAUGCCCCCAGGGCACUGGAGAAAGACCAGCAGGGAAGCAGAGGAUGGAGGAGCCUGUGAUUUAACCAUCACGUGCUGGCCGUAACUACAGGUCCAUACGAGAAAAUCAGGUGUUCCCAUCCGUGGAAGACUUUGCCCACCUGCGGUGUCUGGAGACAACUUUUGUGGCCUCAAGGAGAAGCGGUCCUGUAUCAAGUGGGCGGGAGCCAAGGGAGCUGCCAGACACCUACAAUGCUCAGGAAGCCUCCACUGCAGAGUUAUGCCCCAAAACGUCAAUAGUUUCCAAGCAGAGAAAAUCCCUGGUCCCUACAAAUCUCCCCACCCUCUCUCCUAUGCCCCAACCCCAGGGCACUGGAGCAAGGCUGCCUUAGUGCACCCGAAGCUAUGCCCAAGGGUCCCUGCAGAAGGCCCCAGGGGCCUCCCUUGCAACUUUCCCAGAGGAAUUUCCUUGCACACACCCAUCCAGCUACUGCACCCGAUGAGCCCCAUGGGGGACUCGGAUCCCACAGUGGGCACCAGCAGCCUGGGCACCAGGCUGCAGAUCCGUUACACACUGCAGUCCUGUCCAGGCUUCAGGCGCAGGGUGCUGGAGCCCGCUCUCCUCCGCUGCUUGCUCUGGGAAGCUGUUAAGGGCUUCCUCGCUCACACAGCAGCCAGACUCACGGAGCAGGGGUGAAGCAGGGGGUGAAAGAAGACCCAAGAUCAGGCUGCUCCCAUCUGAACAGUCCCAGACCCCUUCCCAUGACAAGCCCCACUACCUG
This is an RNA transcript of Fukomys damarensis (Damara mole-rat), 870 nucleotides long. RefSeq lists it as uncharacterized. The transcript is spliced from 2 exons. The record is from RefSeq and is a predicted model, not a curated record. NCBI's taxonomy places the organism in Eukaryota, Metazoa, Chordata, Mammalia, Rodentia, Bathyergidae.